Molecule: non-coding RNA, 956 nt
Filed under: Mephitis mephitis (striped skunk)
Lineage: Eukaryota; Metazoa; Chordata; Mammalia; Carnivora; Mephitidae
Description: 12S ribosomal RNA
Rfam family: Bacterial small subunit ribosomal RNA
Source: RNAcentral
UAAAGGUUUGGUCCUAGCCUUACUAUUGGCCCUUAGCAAAAUUACACAUGCAAGUCUCCCCCUACCAGUGAGAAUGCCCUCCAAAUCAUAAAUUUGAUUGAAAGGAGCGGGUAUCAAGCACGCCAAUAAGCAGCUCACAACGCCUUGCUCAACCACACCCCCACGGGAUACAGCAGUGAUAAAAAUUAAGCAAUGAACGAAAGUUCGACUAAGUUAUGCUAACAAAGGGUUGGUAAAUUUCGUGCCAGCCACCGCGGUCAUACGAUUAACCCUAGUCAAUAGGCCAACGGCGUAAAACGUGUUAAAGAGAAUUACUUAACUAAAGUUAAAAUUUAAUUAAGCUGUAGAAAGCUAUUGUUAUUAUAAAAUAAACUACGAAAGUGACUUUAUUACCUCUGACUACACGACAGCUAAGACCCAAACUGGGAUUAGAUACCCCACUAUGCUUAGCCAUAAACACAGACAAUUAAUGUAACAAAAUUGUUCGCCAGAGAACUACUAGCAACAGCUUAAAACUCAAAGGACUUGGCGGUGCUUUAUAUCCCUCUAGAGGAGCCUGUUCUAUAAUCGAUAAACCCCGAUAGACCUCACCGUUUCUAGCUAAUCCAGUCUAUAUACCGCCAUCUUCAGCAAACCCUUAAAAGGCACACAAGUAAGCACAAUCAUACGACAUAAAAAAGUUAGGUCAAGGUGUNGCCUAUGAAACGGGAAGAAAUGGGCUACAUUUUCUUUAACAAGAACAUUCUACGAAAGACUUUAUGAAAUUAAAGGCCGAAGGAGGAUUUAGUAGUAAAUUAAGAAUAGAGAGCUUAAUUGAAUAGGGCCAUGAAGCACGCACACACCGCCCGUCACCCUCCUCAAGUAACUCUAUUUAGACACAACAUAUAACUCUGCCCUAAUACAAGAGGAGACAAGUCGUAACAAGGUAAGCGUACUGGAAGGUGCGCUUGGAUAAA